AGCUGUGCAAUGGACCCUCAAGACCGGCUGUUCUUAGGGCUUACUUUCUUUUUCGAUGGUUGUAGGUGCUGUAAUGGAAGAAAGACGUAGAACAUGUUUCAUCUGUAAAGUUACACAGGGAUUUCCAGACAAGCAUGGGCUUCAUGAAGCAGUCCUGUCUGAAAAAAUAUAUAAGGAAGAUUAGUAAAAUAGAAAUGUCAAGCAUGAUGGCACAUACUAUAAUUUCAGCGUUCAGAGGAAGGCUAAUGCAGACGACUGACUUUGCUUUUCAUCUGCUACUUUAUGGGCGAUGCCCCCAAUAG
This 302-nucleotide long non-coding RNA is filed under the name Mus spicilegus (steppe mouse). RNAcentral describes it as "lncRNA (ENSMSIG00000005390.1)". The record is from RNAcentral. Lineage: Eukaryota; Metazoa; Chordata; Mammalia; Rodentia; Muridae.